Molecule: transfer RNA, 69 nt
Filed under: Podarcis lilfordi (Lilford's wall lizard)
Lineage: Eukaryota; Metazoa; Chordata; Lepidosauria; Squamata; Lacertidae
Description: tRNA.Ile
Source: RNAcentral
GGUAGCUCAGUUGGUUAGAGCAUGGUGCUGAUAAUGCCAAGGUCACAGGUUUGAUCCCCAUAAGGGACA